UGAUACAAUUUUCCUCCUUUUUUUAGUAGUGCACCCAAAAAUCCAAGAUCCGCCUCUGCCUGAAUGGAGCAACAUAGUAUAAAUUAUUCAUACAGGUGACUCCAACUAAUUUGGAAUUAAGGCGUAGUUGACAUAAAACUUUACUUCAAGCAUGUUCUCCUGUUGUAGUAGAUAAUUGAUGGGUGAGCAUCAGAAUUACAGUGGAAAGGGAAAAAAGCAUCAAAAUUGCAGACCACAUCCUGUUUUAUGAUAGGUAAAACCAUAGACCAUAUUCUCUGCAUAGCAGAUUCUCUUUCUUCUUUUUUUGAUUAUAAGUAGCAGAACUUCUUCAGCUGAAGCAAGAACCCAUCAUUUCAUGGUUGUGUGGCAGAGUCUUGAGUUCUGUGAUCUUCUCAUGUGCGCUUUUAGUUCGGCACUCGGUGAGCAUGAAUGUGGUCUCUUUCGAGUUUUAUUACCUCACUUGGUAUGACCUAAGCUAUGUCAAUGGUGGUCCUUAUGGAGAGCCACUUCCGUCCAAUCAAGACAGACUCUACGAGGACAACAGCUUUUGCGGGAACAAGGAAGAAGUCAAUCACUUUUCAACAAAUACCUUCUAUGGAAAUGAACUUUUUCCCUACAAUGAUGGGGUGAACAACAACUGGCUAGGGGAUUUUGUAUCCUACUUUGCUGGCACCUGCAAAGAUGAUUUUGUACCCAGUUAUGUAAAGAGACCUGAGAAAUCAGAUGACCUGUCGACAGGUGAAGCAAUACAGCAUGGCAGCCAUUAUGCCGAUGAUUCACAGCCUGUUUACAUUGGUAAUCAGUGGUUAUGGCAAUUGGAUGCUGGAGACAAGGAUGAUGAUUAUAAUUACCAUGUCAGGCAAGAGCCCGAAGCUACAAGUGCCGAUAGCUGGGAUGAAAUGAGACUUGUGGUAAGCAUCUUUGGUCAGGCUUCUCUAUUAGAGCUGGACCUGGAAGAUCAAACUGAGCCUGCAGUUGCUUGACCAUGUCAUCUUCAUUUUUGGAAAGAAAUAGUCCUACUCUCAUUUCUAUUUUUUUUUUUGGUUUCCGAGGAUUCAGUAUCUCAAUCUAAAGUAGUUCAAUAAAUAAAGAGACAGUUUUCAGAAAGAAUGAUCCAUGGAGAAAGCAAUAUCCUCCUCCUGGCCCCAAUUUUCUUCAAGGUUGUCUUAUUCCAGGCAAAGCUUUUGUGUGUGUGUGUAUAUAUAUAUAUCAAGGAAGCAUCAAGAACACAAUUAUUCUUCUGGUAUCUUAUCUCACCGUCUUCAUGCUGAUUUUUCUUGACUAUUAUAAAAGAGGCUAUCCAUCAAGAAGAGAAAAAUAGUGCCUGCAGUUGCUAAGGGGCGGAUGUAACGUUAUGGGGACGGGUUCAAUUGAAAUUGACUGUAUUGUAGAACAAAACUAGAUCUCCUCACUAAGUUCUCCACAAUUUUAGCCAUUUGUAUCCCUGUAUUGGUACUUGUAUGAGUAUCUGCUUAACGGAAAAGGAUCAUCUCUUUGCAUGCAUAUAGUUGUUCUCAAAAUGGUCAUCCAUGAUGUAUGCCAAGAAGAAUCUGCUUCAUAUCAGUGCAAGAAUCUAUAUCUACUACACAUUACUAUUCUUGGGGUGAAUUGUUCGGCGUAGGGUGAACGAAUGACCAAUUGUCUCCUACUAUGGUCUUGAAAACCCUUACCUCAUGAACUAACUUUUGGAGUUAAGACUAAGGUCUAUUUUCUUAACAUGGUAUUAAAGUCAAGACUCAUCUCUAUUCUUGGUUACCCAAUGUUGGACCUCCAUGUUAUGUUGUGCACGCUCCAGGUGUCCUGGGUAUGGGGGGGGGGGGGUUAGACUGUCUCAUAUAGGUUGAGGGAAUUACCUGUUGUCCUCUUAUAUGGUCUUCGGAAAUCUUCGCCUAAUGAGCUAGCUUUUAGAGUUGAAUUAAGCUCAAGGUCCAUUUUCUUAACAAUCUCUUUGCACUCAUGCUGUUGUCCCAAGUCAAAAUUGUUAUCCCAGACAUAUGCCAAGAAGAAUCUUUAGCUCAUAUCAAAGC
Molecule: long non-coding RNA, 2027 nt
Filed under: Nicotiana tabacum (common tobacco)
Lineage: Eukaryota; Viridiplantae; Streptophyta; Magnoliopsida; Solanales; Solanaceae
Description: long non-coding RNA (NTAB_LNC011620)
Source: RNAcentral